UGGGGAAUUUUGGACAAUGGGCGAAAGCCUGAUCCAGCCAUGCCGCGUGCAGGAUGAAGGCCUUCGGGUUGUAAACUGCUUUUGUACGGAACGAAAAGACUCCUUCUAAUAAAGGGGGUCCAUGACGGUACCGUAAGAAUAAGCACCGGCUAACUACGUGCCAGCAGCCGCGGUAAUACGUAGGGUGCAAGCGCUAAUCGGGAAUUACUGGGCGUAAAGCGUGCGCAGGCGGUUAUAUAAGACAGAUGUGAAAUCCCCGGGCUCAACCUGGGAACUGCAUUUGUGACUGUAUAGCUAGAGUACGGUAGAGGGGGAUGGAAUUCCGCGUGUAGCAGUGAAAUGCGUAGAUAUGCGGAGGAACACCGAUGGCGAAGGCAAUCCCCUGGACCUGUACUGACGCUCAUGCACGAAAGCGUGGGGAGCAAACAGGAUUAGAUACCCAAGUAGUCCCUGAGCGGGCUGGCAAGGCGCAU
Molecule: ribosomal RNA, 473 nt
Filed under: uncultured bacterium
Lineage: Bacteria
Description: bacterial SSU rRNA
Rfam family: Bacterial small subunit ribosomal RNA
Source: RNAcentral